GAAUGUAUGGCAAUAGCUGGUUGCAUUAACAAAAAGUUAGUGUAAGAUCGACUCUGUCGAAUAAAAUUCUAGAUAGAAUUAUGAUAAUGACAUUAUCUAUCUAUGUGUCUUGACCAAAUUACGUGCCAGCAGUCGCGGUAAUACGUAAAAGACUAGUGUUAUUCAUCUUUAAUAGGUUUAAAGGGUACUUAGACGGUAAAUAAAGCCCGAAUAGGGAACUAAUAUACUAGAGUUUGAUGUAAGGAAGCAUGAAAGUACUGUUGGUGUAGAGAUAAAAUUCUAUCAUACCAAAUAUGGCACAGGUUUAGGCGAAAGCAUCUUCUUAUGUAAUAACUGACGUUGAAGGACGAAGGCUUUGUGUCUCGAACAGGAUUAGAUACCCCAGUAGUCUAAGCAGACAAUGAUGAAUGUCAUAGAUUAGAUUUAAUUAAAUUUAUUCUAUAAAUGAAAGUGUAAGCAUUCCACCUCAAGAGUAAUUUGGCAACAUUGGAACUGAAAUCAUUAGACCGUUUCUGAAACCAGUAGUGAAGUAUGUUGUUUAAUUAGAAGAUACGCAAAAAACCUUACCACAAUUUGAAUUAGUAAUAUGUUUUCACAAGCGUUGCACGGCUGUCUACAGUUAAUGUCGUGAGAUUUUGGUUAGUUCCAUUAAAUUAACGC
This 660-nucleotide ribosomal RNA is filed under the name Lecidea cancriformis. RNAcentral describes it as "SSU rRNA". It matches the Rfam family "Bacterial small subunit ribosomal RNA", at positions 359 to 1099 of the family's 1533-position model. Lineage: Eukaryota; Fungi; Ascomycota; Lecanoromycetes; Lecideales; Lecideaceae. The record is from RNAcentral.